RNAcentral lists this long non-coding RNA (303 nucleotides) under Sorghum bicolor (sorghum). RNAcentral's name for it is "long non-coding RNA (SBIC_LNC004224)". Lineage: Eukaryota; Viridiplantae; Streptophyta; Magnoliopsida; Poales; Poaceae. The record is from RNAcentral.
UGCCCAUCCCAACAACUACUAGCUUCACUUCCAUCUCUGAUAUUCCUCCUUCGUUCACCCUCCUCGUGCCAUAAUGUUGUGUAUCGAUCCUGCCAUGUUUUUACCGAUUACAUGUUUUUUUGUCAAGCCUUGCUAUAUUUUCACACACCACAUAUGCACUAAGUUUAAGUUCAAAAGUUAUGAAAUUAUCACACAUAUAAAACUUCAACUUGAAAGCCCUCAAAGGUCGUAAGUUAGGGUAGGCUCAAAUAAUCCUUCAAAAAAGUAGGACAAAAUAUUUAUGAAUAUCACUUUACUUAGGGC